CAUGUAGGCGGAUUGAUAAGUUUGAAGUGAAAUCCUAUAGCUUAACUAUAGAACUGCUUUGAAAACUGUUAAUCUAGAAUGUAGGAGAGGUAGAUGGAAUUUCUGGUGUAGGGUAAAUCCGUAGAGAUCAGAAGGAAUACCGAUUGCGAAGGCGAUCUACUGGAACAUUAUUGGCGCUGAGAUGCGAAAGCGUGGGAGCAAACA
RNAcentral lists this ribosomal RNA (204 nucleotides) under uncultured bacterium. RNAcentral's name for it is "partial 16S ribosomal RNA". It matches the Rfam family "Bacterial small subunit ribosomal RNA", at positions 568 to 774 of the family's 1533-position model. The record is from RNAcentral.